AAAUGAGACACUACCUGUGUCAUCUUCCAAGAUUAGACUAGCCAUGCUAGCUGGGAGGGACUGAUGGAAAUUUAUCUGUUAUUUAUUUUUUAUUGCAUUUACAUCCCACUUUUUUCUCCAAGGAGCUCAAGGUGGUGUACGUUGUUCAUCUCCUGCUCCUCGUUUAAUCUCCACAACAACCCUGCGAGGUAGGUUUAUGCCAGGGGUUAGCAAACCUUUUCAGCAGGGGGCUGGUCCACUGUCCCUCAUACCAUGUCAGGGGCCGGACUAUAUUUUUGGGGGGAAAUGAAUGAAUUCCUAUGCCCCACAAAUAACCCAGAGAUGUCUUUUAAAUAAAAGCACACAUUCUACUCAUGUAAAAACACCAGGCAGGCCCCACAAAUAACCCAGAGAUGCAUUUUAAAUAAAAGGACACAUUCUACUCAUGUAAAAACACACUGAUUCCCGGACUGUCCAUGGGCCAGAUUUAGAAGGCGAUUGGGCCGAAUCCGGCCCCCGGGCCUUAGUUUGCCUACCCAUGGUUUAGGCCAAGAGGCCGUGAUUGGCCCAAGGUCACCUAGUGAGCUAUGUGGCCAAGUGGGGAUUUGACCCUGAUCUCCCAGGCCCAAAUCCAAGAUGCUGACCAUUGCAACUGCAUUGGCCGUCCAGUGAAGUCCAAAAAGUUUGAAUCUCUACUCAGCUGCGACUUGGGGGGAAAACCCCUCUCAGCCAAAGUUUACUAUAAUAUUGCUGUCGAGUCUUUUGAAGGCUGUGAGGAUAAAAAUGCAAUAUAAAGCAUUGUCUGGGCGUAUCCUCAUUCUGCCCCAAAGAGAAUUCAGAACCAGAACAACUCAAGUAUGUCAGUCCAGCUACUCCCAAGUAGACCCAUUAAAUUAAUUGUUAAGUCAAGACAUGUACCGUAAAUUAAUUUCAGUGGGGAGUAAUCUGAGCAUGUCUAUACUUUGAUACAAUCCCAAAUAAUUUGGCUGUUUUUUAGAUUUCACAAAAUACCGUGUCCUUGGCUUUAAACAAGAAACAUACAAUUCUGCUGGGUUUGUGCUUUUUUUUAAAAAAAACAUUUCUGGUUGAAUAAAAUAGAAAAAGGAGGGGGAAUAGCUGGAGGGGUUGUGCAGAGGGGAUCAGAUUGCAUCUAUUUGCGGGAAUAUGGCCUUUGUUAUUCGAUGGCCAACAGAAUCCCAUUCACCAAGGAACAUUUUUUUAACUUUAUUUGCUGGAGGAAAAGGAGUAGGUAGGAAAAGGAGUAGGUCGGAAGCGUAUUCCCAUUCCUCUUUCAGAUUUAAUUCCUCUCUGUGUACUCCUGUUCCUCUCCUUAAUGGGAGCGACAUUUUUAGACUGAAUGGCUGGACCCCUCAGAGAACGAGCACUGCCAAAUCUUUUGUAGGGUUAGGCAGUCAAGAGGAAACUUUGAGAACAACACCCAUUGUAGCCUUUUGUGGGCACCUCUGGAAUGGUCUUAUUUAUUUGUGGGUGUGUUCAGCAAAAAUGUCAUUGAGGGUAUUUCCAGGCAAUCUGCUUAUUGACUCCCCUUCCUGAUUUGUUUGCACAAAGUCGUGGUGGCCUUGGCUAUUUAGUGGACGUUCAUCUCUGUUGGUCUGUGGGAUUGACAUUGCGUCGAAGGAAGGGCGACCCCACACAUCCCAGCACGUUAUCCCAUCCCUUCCCUUCUUGCAAAAAGCUUGAUCUUUUGGGGAAGUGGGUUUGUUGCACAAGAACCGCCAAUCAAUUGUAAUUGUGGAAACCUGAAUCAGACAGAAUUCCACCUGACCUUCGCCAAAAACCUGAAGCCUUUCUCCUAGGUAUUAUAGGAGUAGAUAUACCAAGAUUUGAGGACGUUAUUUAUUUAUGUAUCCAACCACGGCCGCCGGAAUGUUAUUAGCCCAAUGCUGGAAAGGAGACAAUAUACCGACAAAAAUGGAAUGGCAGACAAAAAUUAUUCGAGGACGCGGAAAUGGCUAGACUAACGGGGAAAGUUAGGAAUUAGGAUGACCAAAAAUUUAACACAGAAUAGGAUAAAUACAGACAAUACCUAAAAGAUCAUUGUAAAUAUCUGAAAUCUUUGGCAGGCCUUGAAUGACUCCUGCAAGGUGACACAACUUAUGGACAUAUUGGAUAAAUAUGAACUAGAUGUUAUUCAAGUAUGCAGUUAGUACAGAAUUGUAGAGGACCCACGUUCAAGUGGAGGGAAGUCUUAAUACUUUACAGUAGUACCUUGUUUUGAAUCCGGGAUCCUUUCUGGAGCCCCAGACAUUCCACAAAAGGUAUGCUCAACAAAGUGGCACCCUGCACACACACACGGAGCGGUUUGUGCUUCUGCACAUGCGCGAAGAGCGAUUUAGUGCUUCUGUGCAUGCGCGAGCAGCAAACCCGGAAGUAACACAUUCCAGUACUACCAGGUUUGCCACGGGCGUUUGCCGAGAUGGACAGUCGAUGGGGCAGACGUUUGCGGAGGUAUUACUGUGUUACAUAAUUGUAUUUCAUUUUCAACAUUUAAGUAUUCUUUGCUUCUUAUGUAUAUUUUUGACGGAGAAUUAUGAUUGUGAUGUAUAACAAAAAAAAUCAAUAAAUAUUAAAUGCAAAAAAGGAGAGGAAUGCCCAAGAAUUGGUUUCAAUUAGAGUUAAGCACAUCCUUUGAUCUCCCCCAUUGAGAACAAUGGAACUCCCAAGUGGUCCAGACAUUUUGGACAACACUGUUAUCUGUAGCUCCCCAGGGUUUCAGAUGAACACAUUCUGAACCACGUCAGAAGAGGCUUCUACAUGUAAACCAGACAUUCUGCCACUGAGCCAUGAUUCUCAGGCUCCUCUUUAAACUCCUAGGGCCAGCUGGUCAGCCAUGAACAGAAUUAAGCCAGUUUAAGGCAAGUGCCUGAUCUCCUCAUCUGUCUCCUGAGAAAUCUCUAUGUGGGACAAGAAGCUACAGUUAGAACUGGAUAUGGAACAACUGAUUGGUUCAAAAUUGGGAAAGGAGUACGACAAGGUUGUAUAUUGUCUCCCUGCUUAUUUAAUUUAUAUGCAGAAUUCAUCAUGCGAAAGGCUGGACUAGAUGAAUCCCAAGCCGGAAUUAAGAUUGCCAGAAGAAAUAUCAACAACCUCAGAUAUGCAGAUGACACAACCUUGAUGGCAGAAAGUGAGGAGGAAUUAAAGAACCUUUUAAUGAGGGUGAAAGAGGAGAGCGCAAAAUAUGGUCUGAAGCUCAACAUUAAAAAAACCAAGAUCAUGGCCACUGGUCCCAUCACCUCCUGGCAAAUAGAAGGGGAAGAAAUGGAGGCAGUGAGAGAUUUUACUUUCUUGGGCUCCUUGAUCACUGCAGAUGGUGACAGCAGUCACGAAAUUAAAAGACGCCUGCUUCUUGGGAGAAAAGCAAUGACAAACCUAGACAGCAUCUUAAAAAGCAGAGACAUCACCUUGCCUACAAAGGUCCGUAUAGUUAAAGCUAUGGUUUUCCCAGUCGUGAUGUAUGGAAGUGAGAGCUGGACCAUAAAGAAGGCUGAUCGCCGAAGAAUGGAUGCUUUUGAAUUAUGGUGCUGGAGGAGACUCUUGAGAGUCCCAUGGACUGCAAGAAGAUCAAACCUAUCCAUUCUUAAGGAAAUCAGCCCUGAGUGCUCACUGGAAGGACAGAUCCUGAAGCUGAGGCUCCAAUACUUUGGCCACCUCAUGAGAAGAGAAGACUUCCUGGAAAAGACCCUGAUGUUGGGAAAGAUUGAGGGCACAAGGAGAAGGGGACGACAGAGGACGAGAUGGUUGGACAGUGUUCUCGAAGCUACGAACAUGAGUUUGACCAAACUGCGGGAGGCAGUGCAAGACAGGAGUGCCUGGCGUGCUAUGGUCCAUGGGGUCACGAAGAGUCGGACACGACUAAACGACUAAACAACAACAACAAAGGCAAAUGACUACUGCAGAUUACCCACAGGCAGGUUUUGCAAAAAAACCACAGCAGUUCUGUGAAUCGCAACCACUGACUGUCUGCAAAAUGGAUGUGAAGAGAAGAAAAAAAGAAAGAGGGUCAUAUUUUCAUUCCAAGGGACAAAACAGGUACAAAAAGGAUUGAAAUUGCUACAUCCAUCUUCCUGUUUUCUUCCAAGCAAAAGCUUUGAUUGUCCUUAUUAUUCAGCUUCUCAUCCUGGGAGGAAGAUGAUAUCAGAUUUGUCUAAGGCCUGCAGGAUGUUUGCAAGAUGCCAUUUUCCACCCUCCCCUACGUUGGAGCCACUGAGGAAACCCACUCUUAAUAUUUUAAGUAGCCAAGAGUCUUUGACACCUCACUGACUGCAGUCUUGAAUAAAUGUGUGGCUAAAGAAAGGCCAAAGGUGCUGGAUUUUCCUUGGCGGACCUCUACUUUAAAUUCUGGGAUAACUUCUGAGUUUUUGUCUGUGUUACUAAUCUCUUGAUGCUACAGUCCCUCGCUAAUCAAUACUCUCGCUUGGCCAUAUCACAGGUGUGUGUGUGUGUAACUGUAAAUAGUGAGAUCGUAAGGAAAGGAAACUCAGCAUUAUUGUUAAUUUUGCAAUACUAAUUUUGUUAAUUUUGCAUUAUUAACAGAGGACAUUAGCAAAACCGCAGCAGCUGACAACGCACACAUCCUGAAAUCAAGUGGCAAGCCAAUUAACACACGCAGUGCGAUAAAAAUCUGUUAUGCUGCUUGUGCAGUCCCAAAAGCAACAGUACUGAACCUUUUGGCUGUAAUGCAAUUGUUUUCACUUUGGAACCGUUCAAGAAGUGCAGGGCUUUGACUUCUGGAUUGAAUCAACACCAUGGACCUUUAACAUGCUACGUGGCUAGAGAGCCAGUGUGGUGUAGUGGUUAAGAGCGGUAGACUCGUAAUCUGGGGAACCGGGUUCGUGUCUCCGAUCCUCCACAUGCGGCUGCUGGGUGACCUUGGUCUAGUCACACUUCUCUGAAGUCUCUCAGCCCCACCCACCUCACAGGGUGUCUGUCGUGGGGGAGGAAGGGAAAGAAUAAUGUGAUCCGCUUUGAGACUCCUUCGGGUAGUGAUAAAGCGGGAUAUCAAAUCCAAACUCUUCUUCUUCUAGUGGUAAUAACGGAACUAUCACCAUCUGUACAUUUCUACACUUUCUGCAUCUUAGAAACAAAAUUUAAAAAAUCCUUCCAGCAGCACCUUAGAGACCAACUAAGUUUGUUAUUGGUAUGAGCUUGCGUGCACACUUCUUCAGAUACCUGAGAUUAUCUAUGGCUCGCCUUUCAGCAUGGUUUAGAUUUUGUUGUAAGCGAUGGUGUUUUCUGGUCACAUCCGUAUGGAUUCUGUGGCGGAAGCAAUCGAUGUACAGCUCUAGUGUGGUAUUGCGUCUAUCAGGAGGGGUCCACGUGGAGUCCCUUUUUGUGUAACAUUUUUUCGGUGGUAGUUGGUGGUCAAUGUUCUGUUCAUUACUGUGUUGGGAGGGUGGUGGUUGUUCCCCAGUAGGUUGAGAGGUGUUGUGUUGUGAAGAUGUUGUUUGUUCUCCUUUGUCUUGUUCUUGUGUGUGUGUUGAAAGUACUCCUUCAGGUGUAAACGGCAGAAGUGUGCAUCUGAAGAAGUGUGUAUACACACGUAAGCUCAUACCAGUAACAAAUGAAAGCUCAUACCAAUAACAAACUUAGAUAAAGGGACCCCUGACCAUUAGGUCCAGUCGUGGACAACUCUGGGACUGCAGCGCUCAUCUCACUUUAUUGGCCGAGGAAGCCAGCAUACAGCUUCCAGGUCAUGUGGCCAGCAUGACUAAGCUGCUUCUGGCAAACCAGAGCAGCGCACGGAAACACCGUUUACCUUCCCGCUGGAGUGGUACCUAUUUAUCUACUUGCACUUUGACGUGCUUUCAAACUGCUAGGUUGGCAGGAGCUGGGACAGAGCAACGGGAGCUCACCCCGUCGUGGGGAUUCGAGCCGCCGACCUUCUGAUCAGCAAGCCCUAGGCUCUGUGGUUUAACCCACAGCACCACCCGCGUCCCAAUAACAAACUUAGUUGGUCUCUAAGGUGCUACCGGAAGUAAUUUUUUUUAUUUUGUUUCGACUAUGGCAGACCAACACAGCUACCUACCCAUAACUGCAUCUUAGAAGGAAGAAGUAUGCCGAUUUGAACCGUAGGGGUGUGUUUGUUUGUGUACAUAAUAGUUUUGAAUGCUCCCCAUACCCUCUGAUCGAUCCUCUUCCUCCAGUAUAUAAUGAACUAACUACAUAUCAGAGGAAAACAUUCAGCAUAGCCCCACCCCUUGAUAAUUUAUUACAUAGGGGUGUGUGCCCCCCACCCCUUAACACGGGGGUUAUGUCCCAGGACCCAGCACACAUAAGUGAAAAUGUGUAAAGUGGGGAGCACACUGUAAACACUCUUUACUCUGCCGCUCUUUACCUAAAAUACUUAUAUCUAAAAUUACCUAAAAUACUUAUGAAGAAGUGUGCAUGCACACGAAAGCUCAUAUCAAAAUAAAAACUUAGUUGGUCUUUAAGGUGCUACUGAAGGAAUUUUUUUAUUAUACUUAUAUCCAGAAAUACCCCCAGCUGGAAUUGAAGCUCUGGGGCCAGAAGGAUGAGCACUCUUAACAAAGUCCUGGUGAAUCUCAGGUCUCUUCAGUGCUUCCCCCACCCUUACUGAUGCCAUAGAAUAGAAUAGAAUCAUAGAGUUGGAAGAGACCACAAGGGCCAUCCAGUCCAACCCCCUGCCGAGCAGGAAACACCCAUCAAAGCAUUCUUGACAUAUGCCUGUCAAGCCUCUGCUUAAAGACCUCCAAAGAAGGAGACUCCACCACACUCCUUGGUAGCAAAUUCCACUGCCGAACAGCUCUUGCUGUCAGGAAGUUCUUCCUAAUGUUUAGGUGGAAUCUUCUUUCUUGUAGUUUGAAUCCAUUGCUCCGUGUCCGCUUCUCUGAAGCAGCAGAAAACAACCUUUCUCCCUCCUCUAUAAUAUGACACCCAAAGAGUCCUCUUUGGCCUCUGGGCAGGGUCUCCUUGCAAGCCACAAGGACUCUCCAGCUCUCUCCCACCAUUUCCAGGUUUGAAUUCAAUUAUUUAUCUCCUGGCGCUAUUCAUAUACACAGUUAGGCAUACAUUGGGGGACACCUGAAGAAGUGUGCAAAAGCUCAUACCAAUGACAAACUUAGUUGGUCUCUAAGGUGCUACUGGAAGGAUUUUUAUUUUAUUUUGGGGGACAUCUGUACAGGAUCUCUUUAUAUGUGGGAGCCGGGAUGUCGCAAUAAAUUAAGAGUAGGACCUCAUCAUGACAGCAUCUGUACUGAACUCCAACCCUCAAUCAGAGUACUAAAAAAGAAAAUGUAGGGAGCCGUGUUGGUCCAUUAUAUCGGCCUUCAACAACCUGGCACCCUCCAGAUAUUUUGGACAACAACUCCCACGUGCCUGAGCAUCAUGCUAGCUGGGGCUGAUGGGAUCUGCAGCACAGAACAUCCAGAGGGUACAAGGUUGGGCUGUGAGUCCUGGAUGACCUGCUCCCUGCCUCGCCUCCUUUUCCCACCUGGCCUGGGAGGGCGGGGCCUGGACUGACUCCAGCUACAAAAUGGUUCUCCGAAAUGUGGAGGGGAGGGGAAAAAAGGAAAACAUUGUGGGAUCAAAUAAUAAACUGGGGUGGCUUAUGUAAUUCCGGAACUGUCGCUGGGAAAUGGGGACGCUUGGAGAGUAUGCUACAAGAGGUAACAUUUACAUUUGUUGAUUUCCCCACCUAUUUUGGCCUCAGGCCCUGCCCAACAAUGGAAUGUGGCCCCCCUGAAGGUUUUCAGAAGGGAAUGUGGCCCUCAGACUCAGUGCCGGAUUUACGUAUAAGCUAAACCAGUGUUUCUCAACCUUUUUUGGGCCACGGCACACUUGUUCCAGGAAAAAAGUCACGAGGCACACCACCAUUAAAAAAGUUAAAAAAAUUAACUCUGUGCCGCCCUAUAUUGACUAUAUAAUUAUGACAGUAAGAAACACUUGCCAAUUGCUGUGUUGGUUGCAAUCUCCUGUAAUAAGGCUUCACAAGCCGCUGAUUUCUCUGCCAGCACAAUCCUUUGCUCAGCAAGUUUCAGGUUGAGCUCAUCCAGCCAGCUUCUUUAAGUUUGUCUAAAACCACCCUCCAGUCGUUUGCACUGAGCUUUGGGAAAGAGGAGGAGAAAUAUUGCUUUCCGGUGGGUCAGUGUUGCUCAUUGGCGGCUGGCAGGCACGUGACAAUGCAAAUCGCCCUUCUCGUCGCCGCACGUCGCGGCACACCAGCCAGCGUCUCGCGGCACACUAGUGUGCCGCGGAACAGCGGUUGAGAAUCGCUGAGCUAAACAAGCUAUAGAAAAUUUAAAAGGGAAAAACUGGAUGCAUAUUUCCAAAAUAUAAGAUAAAAAACAAAUAAAAUAAAACCUACAUACAGUAACCGUGUUUUGUGUUGUUUAGGCUCCUAGGGUGUAAGUCAUGGGCCCUCAAUCAUUUUACUUUAGAGCUUAAUAAUGAUUUCACUAUUAAGAUACUUCUUCUUAAUUGUACUUCACUAUUAAUAUACUUCUUCUUAAUUGUAUUUCAGUUCAACAAUUACUUUGAUAAAAUACAUAUUUUGCUAUGUGCAAAUGGCUUUAGAACAGCAACAAUUGGUUGUUGACAAAGGACAGCUGGACAUAUAAAGGGCCCCAUUACCUUCGGUAGCUUAGGGCAGGCAUCCCCAAACUGCGGCCCUCCAGAUGUUUUGGCCUACAACUCCCAUGAUCCCUAGCUAACAGGACCAGUACUCAGGGAUGCUGGGAAUUGUAGUCCAAAACAUCUGGAGGGCCGAAGUUUGGGGAUGCCUGGCUUAGGGCCUCAUCAAACCUAAUUCUAGCCCUGCUCAGACUGAAUAAAGGCUCCUCACCCCUGUUCAACCAGCUUAAUGGGAGGAGCAUCUCUGCAAACUUUCUGCUUCCCUGCCACAUUCGCAAAUGCAGAGUGAAAGAGAAAGGAUCAUUUUUUUGAGCCGUGGAUAUUGAUCGCUUUGAACUAGGUAUUGACAGUGCAAGCCAUGUUGCUCAUGUGUUGCGGAUUUGACUUUUUCUCCAACCUAAGUUACCCUAUUUGCUUUCCCCGCAGGCCCCGAGACCUUUUCUGGGGUGGGGCAUCACGGCAGCAAACCGCUUUAGGAAUGGAAAUUGUCCGGUUCCCAUCACGUUCAGCUUUGCACUGAAUGCCUGGGCUUUGUCAGCAAUUCCAGAAAGGCAGUUUUUGCUGGGAAAGAGUCAAGACGGAACAAGUUCUUCUUUUGUUACUGCCUUUGACUAGUGCUGCAUAAAAGGAAAGUCCACAAAACCCUGGCAAAUGAAGAGGAGAAUGCUACAAGAGACAUCCACACACUCCAUCCUUUCAGUUUCCUUGUUGUUUUAGAGGAGGCAGUCUCUAGGCAAUUUACAACCAAAUUACAGUGGUACCUUGGUUCUCAAACACCUUGGUUCUCAAACAGCUUGGAAUCCAAACACUGCAAACCCAGAAGUAAGUGUUCCAGUUUGCAAACUAUUUUCGGAAGCCUAACGUGCUCCGUUUUGAGUGCCACACUUCCAUUUUGAGUGUUAUGCUGAGAUCUGUCUGUUUUUGCUAUUUAUUUUGCGGUUUUGGUUUUUGCUGCUCUUUUGUUUUUGUGACUGUGACUGUGUGGAACCCAGUUUAGCUACUGAUUGAUUGAUUGAUUGAUUGUGUGACUGUAGUACAUUGUUUAUUGCUUUCAUUCUAUGGAUCAAUGGUCUCGUUAGACAGAAAAAUCCAUGUUAAAUUGCCGUUUUAGGGGUUGUUUUUUAAAGUCCGGAACGGAUUAAUCCGUUUUGCAUUACUUUCUAUGGGAAUGUGUGCCUUGGUUUUGGAACAUUUUAGUUUUGGAACGGACUUCCAGAAUGGAUUAAGUUUGAGAACCAAGGUACCACUGUAAAAGCAUUACAAAAAAAGAAAAGAAAGCACAACAGACACCAGUCACUAAACAUCGUAGCACAAGAAAAACAUCAUUCCCCUGGGUAGCUAAACAGCUAAAUUUAACUCCCACUAAGAUAGAUAGAUAGAUAGAUAGAUAGAUAGAUAGAUAGAUAGAUAGAUAGAUAGAUAGAUAGAUGUGGUAGAGGAUAAUUGAUGAGUAAGAAUAUUAACUAUGGGGAGACUUUUUGAAAAAGCAAGUUUACUUUGGCAGGUUUGGAAGUCACAGCACAAUGGAGGGAUAAGGUUGGAACAGAAACAGCAUUUUUUAAUGUGUGUUCCCAAUUUACCCAUCAUUAAUUACUGACAAUUAAAACCGGAUACUCCCAUGUGUGACAACCCAAGAAGCUUUCUCUUCCACCCGCACAGCUAUCUGAUAAGAAUGCAAGAGCUAUUCUUGCUGGGGUGUUAAAAAUAGUUUCCCAACGCUGAAAACAUUUUUUUAAAGGAAAUUUGAAAUGACAUCAUGAAUUCUUCUCUUCUUUUUUGAGCAGGUUGUCAUGGAAAGUAUGACUCCCGUCCGAUCCCAUCCCGAGUGCUGUCAAGCUUCAUGGGGUCUCGAGCGAGUUUUGGCUCCUUGAUGAGAUGCAACUAUUUGCAAAAACAGGAAUCUCGUUGCAUCUCAACAGGAAAUUCUAUUUUUGCUCGGCAUUUGAAUUAAUACGGGAGGAGGGCACAUACGAAACGUGAGCUAAAAUUAAGCAAUUCUCUCUCCCUCCCACCCAGAUUCUCAAUGAGGAAUCUGUGGUCAAUCAAAGCCUGUGCAACUAUAUAGAUAUAUAUUUACUAGAACGGUUAACCAAAUAAAGAUUCUAACUUUCAAAAAAUUGAAUAUCUGCCCCCCUGGGGGGAUUACCUAGGGGGACCCGAAGCGCAAGUAGAUAAAUAGGUGUUUCUGUGCUCUCUGGCACUCAUCACGGUCUCCCGUUACGCCAGAAGUGGUUUAGUCCUGAAGGUCACAUGACCCAGAAAGCUGUCUGUGGACAAACACCGGCUCCCUCAGCCUGAAAGCAAGAUGAGCGCCACAACCCCAUAGUCGCCUUUGACUGGACUUAAUCGUCCAGGGGUCCUCUACUGGGAGCCAGCAUGGUGUAGUGGUUAAGAGCAGUGGACUCAUAAUCUGGGGAACUGGGUUCGCUUCCCCGCUCCUCCACAUGCACCUGCUGAGUGACCUUGGGCUAGUCACACUUCUCUGAAGUCUCUCAGCCCCACUCACCUCACAGAGUGUUUGUUGUGGGGGAGGAAGGGAAAGGAGAAUGUUAGCCGCUUUGAGACUCCUUAAGGGGAGUGAAAGGCAGGAUAUCAAGUCCAAACUCUUAUUCUUCUACCUUUACCUUUACAUGGGCAGUUAUCUUUCCACAACGGCCGACAUUGAUGCUGAAAUCCAGCAUCGCCUGAGCUCUGCAAGUGCGGCUUUCUCCCGCUUGAAGUGCAGAGUGUUUGAGGACCGGGACAUUCGCAGGGAAACCGAAAUGCUUGUUUACAAAGGUCACAGUAGAAGUUCAACACACACAAAGCAACAAGGACAUUUCAUCUCACUCUUGACAUCGGCAAAAAUGAUGGGGUCAGCGAAAGAGGCGUGAUUUGGACCGAGGGAAGAGGAAGAGCAGCAGGAAAGAGUUUGGCUCAGGCUCUCCAGUCUGAAUAAGGUUCAGGACAUUUAUUUUAGAGAUGAAAAUGGGAGGCGAGAGUUGGGGUGGAGGUUGUAACUGCUGGAUAAAGUGACUCCUAGCAGGGGGAGGGCAGAGCCAUCCUUGUGCCGUGCGCCCCCACCCUGUCUCGGAAACAGACCGGGCAAAUGAUGAAAUGGCAGGGCAUUCUACAGAUUCACAAUUUUUUUUAUUGUGCACAAACACAUUUGUGGUGAAACAGAAACACCAAGCAAUAUUAAGUCCAAGCACACUGGAGGAAGCACUCGGAGAAAUGUGCAAACCGUCUCCUUUGUUCCAAGAUUAGGAGAUGCGGCAAUAGGCUUGCUCCAGCCACAAAUCCUUUGGUAUCCCCCUACUUCUGAUGCUGCCAUCUUUUCCAUGCAAGGGACUAAACUUGAAUGAUUAAAAAAUAGAGAACCUAGAGCCCUCCAAGCAUUGCUGGGGCAGCUGGACUCCAUCUCCCAUCAUUCCAGUGUUCCUUCAACCGUUGGGUCCCCAGAUGUUGCUGGACUACAACUCCCAUCGACCUGGCCGUGGAUGAUGGAAGUUGUAGUCCCAGAGCAUCUGGGAAGUGGGAACCCAACAGUUGAAGAACACCAGCCUACUCUAAAAGCCGGCAAUACCAUUCUCAGACUUGCGUCGCACGAUGAUCCUAGCAGUGCCUGCAAACCCGGUCCAGCGUUCACCGGAAUGACGUUUGGAACCCAGAAUUUCCAAAACGUCAAGAGUCUUAACGCAACGUCUUCAGCCGAGGUCUUACAAGAAAAAAUGCAGGCGACCAGGGGAGGUUUCCUACGGCUAACACAGGCCCACCGUUUGCCUUUCGCAGAGUUAUUCUGUGUACAGAUUUGAACCACGUCUACUCAAUAAAGAUUAAGGAGACAGACAACAGGCAGGAAGACUGAACGUCGAAGAUUGCUGAACAUAAAUGCUUCAGAUCCAAGUGUCUCUUUGAAGCACCAAUCUCAUCCAGAGGUAUCUGUUAUCUAAGGGUGCUUCCAUUCACAUUCCCCACUGCUCACUGGCCAUGCCCAACCAUGCUCUUCUCCAGACAUUUCGAAGCGGGUGUUCUCAGCGGCAUUUUGGGCACCCUUGUUUUGUUACGGUUGUUGGAAGGGAAAUCGCAAUAAUAAUAAUGUAUAUAUAUAUAUAUAUAUAUAAAGAUGUAAACUGGGCAUGUGGGUGUGUUUCCACUUUUCACCAAAACCGCUUGAGGUGAAAUUUUGACACAGCAUCACAUGCGAAUGUCCGAAGGCUAUAGGAAAGUUUGCUAAGACAGAUGUCACACCUCCGCCAGGUAAAACCCCCCAAAACCCCGUGUUUCAAAACACACCACUCAGAUGGAAAUGCAUGCUGGGAAAAGAACCAGUUUGCCGUCCAGCGCCCUCUAGCGGUGGCUACACUGGUACUGCACCUAUAAAACAUUCCCUCUCAACAGGACCUCGGCUCCCGUUCACAUACUAGGCCGAAGCCUUUACAGAUUAGGCCGAAUGGAGGUACUGACUCGCCUGGGUGGGGGUUGGGGGGAGAUGGGGACGGGAUGGGUCAGGACACGG
Zootoca vivipara (common lizard) is the source of this 13087-nucleotide non-coding RNA. NCBI's taxonomy places the organism in Eukaryota, Metazoa, Chordata, Lepidosauria, Squamata, Lacertidae. The record is from RefSeq and is a predicted model, not a curated record.